GGAAAUGUGCCUGAAUACCCAAGGGCCACUGUGAUAAAGUGGACAUAGGGGUAGACUAGUCCCCUCAUUUCCA
RNAcentral lists this transfer RNA (73 nucleotides) under Melanocorypha mongolica. Its description in RNAcentral is "tRNA-Ile". Lineage: Eukaryota; Metazoa; Chordata; Aves; Passeriformes; Alaudidae. The record is from RNAcentral.